AAAGUUAGUUUUAGCUUUGAUUUUAGUAUGAUUUUAUUUAAUAAUAUGUGAAUUUUUGUGUAUUUUUAUUAUGAUUUGUUUAAAAUGAAUUAUCUAUAAAAAAUUAUAAUAUUGAAAAUUAAUAAUUAAUGAAAAUUAAUUUUGGUAAAACAUUUUAAUUAACAAAUUUUGUGCCAGCAGUUGCGGUUAAACAAAAAAUUUUAUAAAAUUAAAAAAUUUUAAUUAUUAAUUUAUUUAUAUUAAACAUCAUUUAAAUAUUUAGGUAAAAUUAUUAUUUAUUAAAAUUUAAUUUAAACUUAAUAAUUUAAUAAAAUUAACGUUUAAACUAGGAUUAGAUACCCUAUUAUUUUAAUUAAAUUAAUUAAUUAAGAAGUAGAUUAAUAGAUUGAAAUUUAAAAAAUAUGGCAGUAUUUUAAUCAAUUUAGAGGAACUUGUAGAGUAAUUGAUAAUACACGAUUAAUUGUACUAAAACAAAUUUAAUUUAUAUAUUAUUGUUAUAAAAAUAUUUUUUAUGAAAAAAUUUUAGAGCUUAUAGUUAUAUGUUUAUUUCAAAUCAGUAUAUAGUUAAUGUUUUAGUUUAUAUGAGUUAUAUUGAAUUUAUUUUUGGAUUUUAUUUUGAAUAAAAUUAAUGAAUUUAGAUUUAAUAGUAAUAUUUAUUUAUUUAUUUAUAUGGGAAAAAGUUUUAAAAUAUGUACAUAUUGCCCGUCAUUUUCAUGAAAUGAAAGAAGUCGUAACAUAGUUAGAGUAUUGGAAAAUGUUCUUAGAAA
RNAcentral lists this non-coding RNA (767 nucleotides) under Hydroptila sp. XG-2021. The record is from RNAcentral. Lineage: Eukaryota; Metazoa; Arthropoda; Insecta; Trichoptera; Hydroptilidae.